RNAcentral lists this ribosomal RNA (254 nucleotides) under uncultured bacterium. RNAcentral's name for it is "partial 16S ribosomal RNA". It matches the Rfam family "Bacterial small subunit ribosomal RNA", at positions 524 to 776 of the family's 1533-position model. The record is from RNAcentral.
UACGUAGGGCGCAAGCGUUGUCCGGAAUUAUUGGGCGUAAAGAGCUCGUAGGCGGCCUGUUGCGUCCGCUGUGAAAUCCCGGGGCUCAACCCCGGGCGUGCAGUGGAUACGGGCUGGCUGGAGGCAGGCAGGGGGAGAACGGAAUUCCUGGUGUAGCGGUGAAAUGCGCAGAUAUCAGGAGGAACACCAACGGCGAAAGCACUCUGCUGGGCCGACACUGACACUGAGAGACGAAAGCUAGGGGAGCGAAUGGG